AUGGAGAUUCAACAUGGUCAUUUCUGUGACUUUUUAGAGUACCCGCAUAGUACUACAUGUUGGCAUUUUAACAAUAAUGGAAGAAGAGCACUUAAAGUGCUCUGGAGACAGAACACCAUAAGAAUAUGUCUAAUUAAAGCUGAAAAAAUUGCAUUAGAAGGAAAUGGUCACAGCCUCUCAUUAUAUUGGACUGGAAUGGGUGACAUCUUUCCCUUCGAGUUCGUGGUGUUUGUGAAUUCUAUUAAAUCAUUUGCCAGAGUACUCUGGACUAAAUUUUACAAGUUAAUUAGAAUGCCAGAAUGCUCUGAUAUCAUGUUAUGGAGAUUAUUAGGAAUCGGGAUUACUAAUGCAGGGGAAAACAAAAUGAAAAUGGAAAUCAGACCCCAAAGUCAAGAGGCAAAUUCUCUGUAAAGUGCAGAGGCUUGGGAGCCAAUCACUGAAACUGAAUUGCUACAUUCCCUUGGUACAGCACUUUCCAAAGCUGUCAGUACUAUGUGUCUGGCACACAUACCUGUUUGGAGGGGGCUCUCAUGCUCUUCGUAAAUGCCUUUGUUACUCUGAGAUUACAUUGCUAGUGCGUUAUGCUUUAGGGCUGUCAUCUUUAAAGUCACUGGCAAACACAGUGCAAAAUUCACUUGCUAUUAGAUCUAUUAAUGUACUUUCUAAAGGAAGCACCAUAAAAGCUGUGCUCAUUGAUGUGCCCUGGCUGUUAAUUGAUUUCUUGGGGUUUGCUGCCCUUUCAGUCCCACGUGUACUACCAUAUGGGGCGAGUAAAGCUCUGCCCAGGUGCCUUCCUCUCUGUCAGGCUGUGCUGGCCAGAGACGGCGCUCUUCCUCGGCGCUCGGCAGCUGGGUGGCUGCCCCCAGCGGCUCCCUCCGAGGAGCCGUGAUGUGGGAGGCCCCCAACUCACUUCAAUCAAAGUGAGGUUAAUUAAAGACAUUCAUGAAGCUGCCUACAAGUAAAGUGGCGGACUGCCCAAAGUUGAUUAGAAAAAGCCCUAAGGGCAUUAAUACUUUCAGCUGGCACAGAAUGAAUACUUAUCUAUAUAGAUGAUAUAAGGAAGCCCUGCUGACAGACUCAUUAAAAUGAGUGCUUUUUUUUUUUUUGGCAUAUCAUCCCUUUCCUUUUCCAAACUAUAUAGCUUAUUUUGCUCUUUGUACAGAAAUGCAGUCUCUGCCAUGCUAAUGUUUUGCUAUGUUUGGCUUCCUAAAUGUGGCAAGCAAAACUGAGCCCUGCCAAGGAGCAAACAAACAACAAGCCAGCAGUUUAAUGCUGCUGUCUUCCUUUAAAACUGUAGUACUGUCCAGAACCAAACCUGCUUAUCGCGCAGCAAUCAAACCUCUUCAGGGAAUCAUUCCACAACAUUUAGAUUCUUUUCCUGGUUAAUGACAGAUACUGAAAUAGAUGUACUUCACGUACACAUAAUUCAAAUUAUUCUUUCUGAUGUGUAAUCAUUUGUACCUGCCCACAUUGAUUUUCACCUGCCUAACAUAUUCCCCAACUGUCUUCUCCUCUUAGAGAUUUCUUUUUAUCUUGGCAAUCAAAUACUACCAGCUUUUCAUUUUAUCACGCCAGUUCCUUGUUCUGAUUUAAGGAUGGUAAUGGGCGGUGAUACAAAUAGCUUAGUUAUCCUGCUUUUUUUAUAAUAGACUGUUCUAAUUUGCUCAUAAUAUUCUGAAACUUGAAUGGUUUAGAAUGAGAUUAUUUCAGUCCAAGUAAAGCAGGGCAGCUCUGAAGGAUACUUACUGGUGUUUGCUUUCUAAAGAAGGCAGCUCAGCUCGAGUGAGGUGCUGGCCUUUCCCCACAUGAUCACUCUUUAGUGCUGUUCAUUUUAAAAAUAACGUUGAUAAAAACGGGAUUUUGCUCUAGCAAAUACUCACCGAGGCAUAUUUGGUGUCUUUGGAUAAGACAAUAGCUCUAUUGCAGGAAGUAAUGCCGUACUAUGAAAGCACAUAUAAGAAAUAGCAAAAAUACUUGGAAUUGUUUUAAUAGGAAUCUUUUGUUCUGGAAAAACAGCACUGAACACUAACAUCUCAUGCACGCUUCAUUUGCCUGGCUUUCCUUCCGACACCCCCCAGCCGCGCGCUUCCUGAAGCACCCGCGGAACGCGCCAACAAUCCGGCUCCGCGGAUUGAUUCCGCGCUGAUUAAACAACCCCCCGGGGCACGUUGAGCGCAGCGAUUCGGGGCGGCAGCUGCACUUCCCGGGAACCCACGCGCAGGUCCUUUGUACAGCAUGAAAAAAUAAAUAGGAAAAAAAAUAAAAAAGCGGGGGGGGG
RNAcentral lists this long non-coding RNA (2278 nucleotides) under Apteryx haastii (Great spotted kiwi). RNAcentral's name for it is "lncRNA (ENSAHAG00000004580.1)". Lineage: Eukaryota; Metazoa; Chordata; Aves; Apterygiformes; Apterygidae. The record is from RNAcentral.